GUCCACGCUGUAAACGAUGGAUACUUGUUGUUGGAGGUAUUGACCCCUUCAGUGACGCAGUUAACACGGUAAGUAUCCCGCCUGGGGAGUACGGUCGCAAGAUUAAAACUCAAAGAAAUUGACGGGGCCCGCACAAGCGGUGGAGUAUGUGGUUUAAUUCGAUGCAACGCGAAGAACCUUACCUACUUUUGACAUGUACUGGAAGACUGGCAGAAAUGUCGUCGCCCGCAAAGGGUCGGUACACAGGUGCUGCAUGGCUGUCGU
Molecule: ribosomal RNA, 264 nt
Filed under: uncultured bacterium
Lineage: Bacteria
Description: partial 16S ribosomal RNA
Rfam family: Bacterial small subunit ribosomal RNA
Source: RNAcentral